UGCGUCUUUAGCUCAGCUGGAUAGAGCAACGCCCUUCUAAGGCGUGGGCCAGGGGUUCGAAUCCCUUAAGACGCACCAU
Molecule: transfer RNA, 79 nt
Filed under: Clostridium botulinum E3 str. Alaska E43
Lineage: Bacteria; Bacillati; Bacillota; Clostridia; Eubacteriales; Clostridiaceae
Also listed under: 2 other names
Description: tRNA-Arg
Rfam family: tRNA
About the family: Transfer RNA (tRNA) molecules are approximately 80 nucleotides in length.
Source: RNAcentral